This 389-nucleotide ribosomal RNA is filed under the name uncultured bacterium. RNAcentral's name for it is "bacterial SSU rRNA". It matches the Rfam family "Bacterial small subunit ribosomal RNA", at positions 29 to 417 of the family's 1533-position model. The record is from RNAcentral.
AUUGAACGCUGGCGGCAUGCCUUACACAUGCAAGUCGAACGGCAGCACGGGAGCUUGCUCCUGGUGGCGAGUGGCGAACGGGUGAGUAAAGCAUCGGAACGUGCCCUGGAGUGGGGGAUAACGUAGCGAAAGUUACGCUAAUACCGCAUAUUCUGUGAGCAGGGAAGCAGGGGAUCGCAAGACCUUGCGCUCUGGGAGCGGCCGAUGUCGGAUUAGCUAGUUGGUGGGGUAAAGGCCUACCAAGGCGACGAUCCGUAGCGGGUCUGAGAGGAUGAUCCGCCACACUGGGACUGAGACACGGCCCAGACUCCUACGGGAGGCAGCAGUGGGGAAUUUUGGACAAUGGGCGAAAACCUGAUCCAGCCAUGCCGCGUGAGUGAAGAAGGCCU